ACGGGAGGCAGCAGUAGGGAAUAUUGGACAAUGGGGGCAACCCUGAUCCAGCGAUGCCGCGUGUGUGAAGAAGGCCUGCGGGUUGUAAAGCACUUUAGUGGGGGAGGAAGUUUAUCAGAUUAAGAGUUAGAUAAAUUGACGUUACCCCAAGAAUAAGCACCGGCUAACUCUGUGCCAGCAGCCGCGGUAAUA
This 192-nucleotide ribosomal RNA is filed under the name uncultured bacterium. RNAcentral describes it as "partial 16S ribosomal RNA". It matches the Rfam family "Bacterial small subunit ribosomal RNA", at positions 341 to 525 of the family's 1533-position model. The record is from RNAcentral.